RNAcentral lists this ribosomal RNA (253 nucleotides) under uncultured bacterium. RNAcentral's name for it is "partial 16S ribosomal RNA". It matches the Rfam family "Bacterial small subunit ribosomal RNA", at positions 524 to 776 of the family's 1533-position model. The record is from RNAcentral.
UACGUAGGGUGCAAGCGUUAAUCGGAAUUACUGGGCGUAAAGCGUGCGCAGGCGGUUGUGCCAGACAGAUGUGAAAUCCCCGGGCUCAACCUGGGAAUUGCAUUUGUGACUGCACGGCUAGAGUGUGUCAGAGGGGGGUAGAAUUCCACGUGUAGCAGUGAAAUGCGUAGAGAUGUGGAGGAAUACCGAUGGCGAAGGCAGCCCCCUGGGAUAACACUGACGCUCAUGCACGAAAGCGUGGGGAGCAAACAGG